Molecule: long non-coding RNA, 936 nt
Filed under: Lonchura striata (white-rumped munia)
Lineage: Eukaryota; Metazoa; Chordata; Aves; Passeriformes; Estrildidae
Description: domestica (Bengalese finch) lncRNA (ENSLSDG00000011417.1)
Source: RNAcentral
ACCCCCCACCCCCCCCCAAAUCCCAAAAUCCCAGAGUGGGAUUUGGGGCAAAAAACUGGGAAAAAAACUCAUCAGUGGCAACGGGGGGAGGGGGCACCCCGGCAUGGGGGGGGUGAUUUUGGGGACACCCCACCCCCCCCUUCCCUAAAAGGGAUUGGAGCCCCCCUAAAAAGGAGGGGUGCCCCCCUAAGAGACUGUGAAAGGGGGUGACGAGGGGACCCCCCCCCAGCCCCGAUGUCACCCCAAAGGCUGCACUGCACUUUCUGGACUGGGUGUCCCCCCCAAAAUUUGGGGUCCCUCCAAGCCCACCCCCGUUUCUGGGACGGGUUUGGGUGUCGCUGUCGUUCCCCACCCCGUGUGUGUCCCCCCGCCUCCAUGAUCACUCAGGACUUGGGGAGCCCCCCCCCAAAUCGGUGUCACCUCACCUCGUGUGUACCCUGUGUGUGUCCCCCAUGUCCCCCCCCACCGUGUGUCCCCUCCCCUGGGCUCCCCACACCCCCCCAAGCAAUAACUGGAGCCGCCGGACGCGCCGAUGGCGGAGGACGACGGCGGAGGUAGGGAGGGCCCUGCCCGGGUGUCCCCCCGUCCCCUUGUGGUGGCAAUGUCACCCCAGAAGUGGGGGGAGAAGGGGGGAAACCGGCCCCACUGCGAGGCCAGGCUGCGUUUCCAUGGUAACGGGACCAGGCCUGAGCCCUCACUGCGGGGCCAGGCUGCGUUUCCAUGGUAACAGGACUAGGCCUGAAUCCGCACUGCGAGGCCAGGCUGCGUUUCCAUGGUAACAGGACUAGGCCUGAACUCUCACUGCGAGGCCAGGCUGCGUUUCCAUGGUAACGAGACCAGGCCUGAGCACUCACUGUGAGGCCAGGCUGCGUUUCCAUGGUAACAGGACUAGGCCUGAACUCUCACAGCGAGGCCAGGCUGCGUUUCCAUGGUAAC